Molecule: ribosomal RNA, 497 nt
Filed under: uncultured bacterium
Lineage: Bacteria
Description: partial 16S ribosomal RNA
Rfam family: Bacterial small subunit ribosomal RNA
Source: RNAcentral
GAUGAACGCUGGCGGCGUGCCUAAUACAUGCAAGUCGAGCGAACAGACGAGGAGCUUGCUCCUCUGACGUUAGCGGCGGACGGGUGAGUAACACGUGGAUAACCUACCUAUAAGACUGGGAUAACUUCGGGAAACCGGAGCUAAUACCGGAUAAUAUAUUGAACCGCAUGGUUCAAUAGUGAAAGACGGUUUUGCUGUCACUUAUAGAUGGAUCCGCGCCGCAUUAGCUAGUUGGUAAGGUAACGGCUUACCAAGGCAACGAUGCGUAGCCGACCUGAGAGGGUGAUCGGCCACAAUGGAACUGAGACACGGUCCAGACUCCUACGGGAGGCAGCAGUAGGGAAUCUUCCGCAAUGGGCGAAAGCCCGACGGAGCAACGCCGCGUGAGUGAUGAAGGUCUUCGGAUCGUAAAACUCUGUUAUUAGGGAAGAACAAAUGUGUAAGUAACUAUGCACGUCUUGACGGUACCUAAUCAGAAAGCCACGGCUAACUACGUG